This 540-nucleotide ribosomal RNA is filed under the name uncultured Geobacteraceae bacterium. Its description in RNAcentral is "bacterial SSU rRNA". It matches the Rfam family "Bacterial small subunit ribosomal RNA", at positions 9 to 526 of the family's 1533-position model. Lineage: Bacteria; Pseudomonadati; Thermodesulfobacteriota; Desulfuromonadia; Geobacterales; Geobacteraceae. The record is from RNAcentral.
GAGUUUGAUCCUGGCUCAGAACGAACGCUGGCGGCGUGCCUAACACAUGCAAGUCGAACGUGAUCCAGAGCUUGCUCUGGUGAAAGUGGCGCACGGGUGAGUAACGCGUGGAUAACCUACCCUGGUAUCCGGGAUAACAUUCCGAAAGGGGUGCUAAUACCGGAUAAGCCCACGGGCUCUUUGGAGCUUGCGGGAAAAGGUGGCCUCUAUUUAUAAGCUACUGUAUCAGGAUGGGUCCGCGUACCAUUAGCUAGUUGGCGGUGUAACGGACCACCAAGGCGACGAUGGUUAGCUGGUCUGAGAGGAUGAUCUGCCACACUGGAACUGAGACACGGUCCAGACUCCUACGGGAGGCAGCAGUGGGGAAUUUUGCGCAAUGGGGGAAACCCUGACGCAGCAACGCCGCGUGAGUGAUGAAGGCCUUUGGGUCGUAGAGCUCUGUCAGAGGGGAAGAAAUGAUAUAGUGCUAAUACCACUUUAUCUUGACGGUACCCUCAAAGGAAGCACCGGCUAACUCCGUGCCAGCAGCCGCGGUAAUAC